RNAcentral lists this transfer RNA (65 nucleotides) under Lasioglossum fulvicorne. RNAcentral describes it as "tRNA-Ser". The record is from RNAcentral. Lineage: Eukaryota; Metazoa; Arthropoda; Insecta; Hymenoptera; Halictidae.
AGUUAAUAAGCUUUAAAGCAAAUAUUUUGAAAAUAUUUUUUAGAUAUAAAUUUAUCUAUUAACUU